AGAGUUUGAUCAUGGCUCAGGAUGAACGCUAGCGACAGGCUUAACACAUGCAAGUCGAGGGGCAGCACGGUGUAGCGAUACACUGGUGGCGACCGGCGCACGGGUGAGUAACACGUGUGCAACCAACCCCGUACCGGGAGAUAACCCGCGGAAACGUGGACUAACAUCCCAUGACACCUUUUCCCCGCAUGGGGGAGAGUUUAAAACCCCGGUGGUACGGGACGGGCACGCGCGACAUUACGGUAGUUGGCGGGGUAAGGGCCCACCAAGCCGACGAUGUCUAGGGGUUCUGAGAGGAAGGUCCCCCACACUGGAACUGAGACACGGUCCAGACUCCUACGGGAGGCAGCA
Molecule: ribosomal RNA, 351 nt
Filed under: uncultured bacterium
Lineage: Bacteria
Description: bacterial SSU rRNA
Rfam family: Bacterial small subunit ribosomal RNA
Source: RNAcentral